GCCAAGGGAGAUAGGGCGGGGCAUCUGACCCCACCCUGCGUGGUCCAUACUGGUCCAUACUGGUUUAUACUGGUCCAUACUGGUUUAGACUGGUUUGAACUGGUUUAGACUGGUUUAUACUGGUUUAUACUGGUCCAUACUGGUCCAUACUGGUUUAUACUGGUCCAUACUGGUCCAUACUGGUUUAUACUGGUCCAUACUGGUUUAUACUGCUCCAUACUGGUUUUCCAGCCCUGGAACUGGGCCCGGAUUUGCCGUCUGGCCCCGCCCUGGCUGGUUUAUACUGGUUUAUACUGGUUUAUACUGGUUUAUACUGGUUUAUACUGGUUUAGACUGGUUUAGACUGGUUUGAACUGGUUUAUACUGGUUUAUACUGGUUUAUACUGGUUUAUACUGGUCCAUACUGGUUUAUACUGGUUCAUACUGGUUUUCCAGCCCUGGAACUGGGCCCGGAUCUGCCGUCUGGCCCCGCCCUGGCUGGUUUAUACUGGGUUAUACUGGUUUAUACUGGGUUAUACUGGUCUAUAAUGGGUUAUAUGGGGCUAUACUGGUUUGUACUGGUCCAUACUGGUUUAUACUGGUUUAUACUGGUUUAUACUGGUCCGUACUGGUUUUCCAGCCCUGGAACUGGGCCCGGAUCUGCCGUCUGGCCCCGCCCUGGCGCGCUGGCUGGGGGAGCCGGUGCGGGCCGUGCUGCUCCCCACCCGCCUCUUCCUCACCAACAAGAAAGGAUUCCCAGUGCUGGGCCGGGGCCACCAGCGCCUGCUGGGACAGCUGCUCAAGCUGGACGUGCAGAUCAUCGUGCAGGGAGCCCCCCGGCACGGCGGACGCCCCCUGGCCGCGUACCUGCAGUACCUGGAGCACCUGGGCCAGCACCGGCCCCCGCCCUCGGCCUACGAGCUGUACGCCCGCGGCUACGAGGAUUACCUGCAGAGCCCGCUGCAGGUGGGCUCCCAGUUCAGCCCAGUUCAGCCCAGUUCAGCCCAGUUCAGCCCAGUGACCUCCCAGUUCAAUCCCAGUUCAAUCCCAGUUCAAUCCCAGUUCAAUCCCAGUUCAAUCCCAGUUCAGCCCAGUGUGGCUACGAGGAUUACCUGCAGAGCCCGCUGCAGGUGGGCUCCCAGUUCAGCCCAGUCCAU
Molecule: long non-coding RNA, 1136 nt
Organism: Cyanistes caeruleus (blue tit)
Lineage: Eukaryota; Metazoa; Chordata; Aves; Passeriformes; Paridae
Source: Ensembl